CUUUGGGGACAGGUGAAAUUCCUUACCGGCGGUAAAGUCCGCGAGCGAGAGCUGACUUGGUGAAAUUCCGAGACCGACAGUAAAGUCUGGAUGAUAAAAG
RNAcentral lists this non-coding RNA (100 nucleotides) under human gut metagenome. Its description in RNAcentral is "FMN riboswitch (RFN element)". It matches the Rfam family "FMN riboswitch aptamer (RFN element)". From Rfam's summary of the family: The RFN element is a highly conserved domain that is found frequently in the 5'-untranslated regions of prokaryotic mRNAs that encode for flavin mononucleotide (FMN) biosynthesis and transport proteins. This element is a metabolite-dependent riboswitch that directly binds FMN in the absence of proteins. The record is from RNAcentral.